GACGAACGCUGGCGGCGUGCUUAACACAUGCAAGUCGAACGGAAAGGCCCUGCUUUUGUGGGGUGCUCGAGUGGCGAACGGGUGAGUAACACGUGAGUAACCUGCCCUUGACUUUGGUAUAACUUCAGGAAACUGGGGCUAAUACCGGAUAGGAGCUCCUGCUGCAUGGUGGGGGUUGGAAAGUUUCGGCGGUUGGGGAUGGACUCGCGGCUUAUCAGCUUGUUGGUGGGGUAGUGGCUUACCAAGGCUUUGACGGGUAGCCGGCCUGAGAGGGUGACCGGCCACAUUGGGACUGAGAUACGGCCCAGAGUCCUACGGGAGGCAGCAGUGGGGAAUAUUGCACAAUGGGCGGAAGCCUGAUGCAGAAACGCCGCGUGCGGGAUGACGGCCUUCGGGUUGUAAACCGCUUUCGCCUGUGACGAAGCGUGAGUGACGGUAAUGGGUAAAGAAGCACCGGCUAACUACGUG
This 468-nucleotide ribosomal RNA is filed under the name uncultured bacterium. RNAcentral's name for it is "partial 16S ribosomal RNA". It matches the Rfam family "Bacterial small subunit ribosomal RNA", at positions 28 to 507 of the family's 1533-position model. The record is from RNAcentral.